Non-coding RNA from Misgurnus anguillicaudatus (oriental weatherfish), 691 nucleotides. NCBI's taxonomy places the organism in Eukaryota, Metazoa, Chordata, Actinopteri, Cypriniformes, Cobitidae. The record is from RefSeq and is a predicted model, not a curated record.
AGACGGACAGUAUACAGUACACGGCCCGAUUCCGUGAUGCGGCAAUCAGCCCUCUAGCUGUUGAACGGCAACAUCACCACUGCUGUUAUGAUUUGAAUCAAGCAGAGCACAAAGCUGAGCUCCCGUUCGACACAGACACCAUCAUCAAUAACUGGUUAACUGGUUGGGGCUUAUUGGCGGGACAGAUGUACGAGACUGCACAUGGCAUAUAUUGAAGAGGGCGACCGACAACUCCCUGGCUUAAAACCUCAACUGGAUGGAAAAGACUUUAUUUGCCACCCUCUAACUCAGAGAGGUAGUGAUUGAUGCAGUUUGGAGAAGGUCCCUUACAGUUGUGGAGGGGACAAUGAAGAGGUGUCUCGAUCGAGAGGGUGGGUGCAAGAGACAAAUUUAGCAAAAGAAAAGCAGUUAGUGUUAGCGCCUGUGUUUGAGUCUGCAAAGGAGAAUGUUUUGUGCUGUAAAAAGAGUGGUGGUGUUUUGGUUAAAUGUGUUUAACUUGUUUUAAUUACUUGGCUUGUGUGUGUGUGUGUGGGUUGGUAUAUGUGGUUUAUGGGGAAUAGUGUAUAAUGACAUGUUUAAUAUGCUAUAAACAUGCUUUACAGGGACACAAUACUAAGUGGUACUUUUUCAGAUUAAAGACUUCCAACAGAUUUUUGUUAUGGUUGGGCUUAGGGACUGGGGUAAGUUAAGG